This 247-nucleotide ribosomal RNA is filed under the name uncultured bacterium. RNAcentral's name for it is "partial 16S ribosomal RNA". It matches the Rfam family "Bacterial small subunit ribosomal RNA", at positions 523 to 769 of the family's 1533-position model. The record is from RNAcentral.
AUACGAAGGGUGCAAGCGUUACUCGGAAUUACUGGGCGUAAAGCGUGCGUAGGUGGUUGUUUAAGUCUGUUGUGAAAGCCCUGGGCUCAACCUGGGAAUUGCAGUGGAUACUGGGCGACUAGAGUGUGGUAGAGGGUAGUGGAAUUCCCGGUGUAGCAGUGAAAUGCGUAGAGAUCGGGAGGAACAUCCAUGGCGAAGGCAGCUACCUGGACCAACACUGACACUGAGGCACGAAAGCGUGGGGAGC